This 107-nucleotide small nuclear RNA is filed under the name Meriones unguiculatus (Mongolian gerbil). The record is from RNAcentral. Lineage: Eukaryota; Metazoa; Chordata; Mammalia; Rodentia; Muridae.
GUGCUCGCUUCGGCAGCACAUACACUAAAACUGGAACGAUACGGAGAAGGUUAGCAUGGCCCCUGUGCAAGGAUGACACGCAAAUUCGUGAAGCGUUCUAUAUUUUU